UACGAAGGGGGCUAGCGUUGUUCGGAAUUACUGGGCGUAAAGCGCGCGCAGGCGGUUUUCCAAGUCAGUGGUGAAAGCCCGGAGCUCAACUCCGGAAAUGCCAUUGAAACUGCAAAACUUGAGUACGAGAGAGGUGAGUGGAAUUCCCAGUGUAGAGGUGAAAUUCGUAGAUAUUGGGAAGAACACCAGUGGCGAAGGCGGCUCACUGGCCCGUAACUGACGCUGAGGUGCGAAAGCGUGGGGAGCAAACAGG
Molecule: ribosomal RNA, 253 nt
Filed under: uncultured bacterium
Lineage: Bacteria
Description: partial 16S ribosomal RNA
Rfam family: Bacterial small subunit ribosomal RNA
Source: RNAcentral